Molecule: non-coding RNA, 91 nt
Organism: Suillus tomentosus
Lineage: Eukaryota; Fungi; Basidiomycota; Agaricomycetes; Boletales; Suillaceae
Source: the annotation of a GenBank genome assembly
UCGGAUAUGGUCUAAUGGUUAGUAACAUUACCGCCUCUCAAGAUCUCAAGCGAACUCGUGGUAGCUCGGGGUUCGAUUCCCCGUAUCCGAA